RNAcentral lists this ribosomal RNA (515 nucleotides) under uncultured bacterium. RNAcentral describes it as "partial 16S ribosomal RNA". It matches the Rfam family "Bacterial small subunit ribosomal RNA", at positions 28 to 523 of the family's 1533-position model. The record is from RNAcentral.
GACGAACGCUGGCGGCGUGCCUAAUACAUGCAAGUCGAGCGAAUGGAUUAAGAACUUGCUCUUAUGAAGUUAGCGGCGGACGGGUGAGUAACACGUGGGUAACCUGCCCAUAAGACUGGGAUAACUCCGGGAAACCGGGGCUAAUACCGGAUAACAUUUUGAACCGCAUGGUUCGAAAUUGAAAGGCGGCUUCGGCUGUCACUUAUGGAUGGACCCGCGUCGCAUUAGCUAGUUGGUGAGGUAACGGCUCACCAAGGCAACGAUGCGUAGCCGACCUGGGAGGGUGAUCGGCCACACUGGGACUGAGACACGGCCCAGACUCCUACGGGAGGAAGCAGUAGGGAAUCUUCCGCAAUGGACGAAAGUCUGACGGAGCAACGCCGCGUGAGUGAUGAAGGCUUUCGGGUCGUAAAACUCUGUUGUUAGGGAAGAACAAGUGCUAGUUGAAUAAGCUGACACCUUGACGGUACCUAACCAGAAAGCCACGGCUAACUACGUGCCAGCCGCCGCGGUAA